Molecule: unclassified non-coding RNA, 203 nt
Filed under: Hevea brasiliensis (rubber tree)
Lineage: Eukaryota; Viridiplantae; Streptophyta; Magnoliopsida; Malpighiales; Euphorbiaceae
Source: RNAcentral
GAUACAAUCCACGUCAUAAUCCAUAUUGGAUUCCCCAAUUUAUUAAAGAAAAAAGGAGCAAUCGAAGAAUUAGAGAAAGAUCUACAAAAAGAAGUUAAUUCUGUAAACCAGAGACUUAAUAUUGGGAUCGAAAAAGUGAAAGAACCUUAUAGACAACCUAACAUUCUUGCAGAAUAUAUAGCUUUCCAAUUAAAAAAUAGAGU